ACUAAGCGUACACGGUGGAUGCCCUGGCAGUCAGAGGCGAUGAAGGACGUGCUAAUCUGCGAUAAGCGUCGGUAAGGUGAUAUGAACCGUUAUAACCGGCGAUUUCCGAAUGGGGAAACCCAGUGUGUUUCGACACACUAUCAUUAACUGAAUCCAUAGGUUAAUGAGGCGAACCGGGGGAACUGAAACAUCUAAGUACCCCGAGGAAAAGAAAUCAACCGAGAUUCCCCCAGUAGCGGCGAGCGAACGGGGAGCAGCCCAGAGCCUGAAUCAGUGUGUGUGUUAGUGGAAGCGUCUGGAAAGGCGCGCGAUACAGGGUGACAGCCCCGUACACAAAAAUGCACAUGCUGUGAGCUCGAUGAGUAGGGCGGGACACGUGGUAUCCUGUCUGAAUAUGGGGGGACCAUCCUCCAAGGCUAAAUACUCCUGACUGACCGAUAGUGAACCAGUACCGUGAGGGAAAGGCGAAAAGAACCCCGGCGAGGGGAGUGAAAAAGAACCUGAAACCGUGUACGUACAAGCAGUGGGAGCCUCUUUAUGGGGUGACUGCGUACCUUUUGUAUAAUGGGUCAGCGACUUAUAUUCUGUAGCAAGGUUAACCGAAUAGGGGAGCCGAAGGGAAACCGAGUCUUAACUGGGCGUUAAGUUGCAGGGUAUAGACCCGAAACCCGGUGAUCUAGCCAUGGGCAGGUUGAAGGUUGGGUAACACUAACUGGAGGACCGAACCGACUAAUGUUGAAAAAUUAGCGGAUGACUUGUGGCUGGGGGUGAAAGGCCAAUCAAACCGGGAGAUAGCUGGUUCUCCCCGAAAGCUAUUUAGGUAGCGCCUCGUGAAUUCAUCUCCGGGGGUAGAGCACUGUUUCGGCAAGGGGGUCAUCCCGACUUACCAACCCGAUGCAAACUGCGAAUACCGGAGAAUGUUAUCACGGGAGACACACGGCGGGUGCUAACGUCCGUCGUGAAGAGGGAAACAACCCAGACCGCCAGCUAAGGUCCCAAAGUCAUGGUUAAGUGGGAAACGAUGUGGGAAGGCCCAGACAGCCAGGAUGUUGGCUUAGAAGCAGCCAUCAUUUAAAGAAAGCGUAAUAGCUCACUGGUCGAGUCGGCCUGCGCGGAAGAUGUAACGGGGCUAAACCAUGCACCGAAGCUGCGGCAGCGACGCUUAUGCGUUGUUGGGUAGGGGAGCGUUCUGUAAGCCUGUGAAGGUGUGCUGUGAGGCAUGCUGGAGGUAUCAGAAGUGCGAAUGCUGACAUAAGUAACGAUAAAGCGGGUGAAAAGCCCGCUCGCCGGAAGACCAAGGGUUCCUGUCCAACGUUAAUCGGGGCAGGGUGAGUCGACCCCUAAGGCGAGGCCGAAAGGCGUAGUCGAUGGGAAACAGGUUAAUAUUCCUGUACUUGGUGUUACUGCGAAGGGGGGACGGAGAAGGCUAUGUUGGCCGGGCGACGGUUGUCCCGGUUUAAGCGUGUAGGCUGAUUUUCCAGGCAAAUCCGGAAAAUCAAGGCUGAGGCGUGAUGACGAGGCACUACGGUGCUGAAGCAACAAAUGCCCUGCUUCCAGGAAAAGCCUCUAAGCAUCAGGUAACAUCAAAUCGUACCCCAAACCGACACAGGUGGUCAGGUAGAGAAUACCAAGGCGCUUGAGAGAACUCGGGUGAAGGAACUAGGCAAAAUGGUGCCGUAACUUCGGGAGAAGGCACGCUGAUAUGUAGGUGAAGUCCCUCGCGGAUGGAGCUGAAAUCAGUCGAAGAUACCAGCUGGCUGCAACUGUUUAUUAAAAACACAGCACUGUGCAAACACGAAAGUGGACGUAUACGGUGUGACGCCUGCCCGGUGCCGGAAGGUUAAUUGAUGGGGUCAGCGCAAGCGAAGCUCUUGAUCGAAGCCCCGGUAAACGGCGGCCGUAACUAUAACGGUCCUAAGGUAGCGAAAUUCCUUGUCGGGUAAGUUCCGACCUGCACGAAUGGCGUAAUGAUGGCCAGGCUGUCUCCACCCGAGACUCAGUGAAAUUGAACUCGCUGUGAAGAUGCAGUGUACCCGCGGCAAGACGGAAAGACCCCGUGAACCUUUACUAUAGCUUGACACUGAACAUUGAGCCUUGAUGUGUAGGAUAGGUGGGAGGCUUAGAAGUGUGGACGCCAGUCUGCAUGGAGCCGACCUUGAAAUACCACCCUUUAAUGUUUAAUGUUCUAACGUGGACCCGUAAUCCGGGUUGCGGACAGUGUCUGGUGGGUAGUUUGACUGGGGCGGUCUCCUCCUAAAGAGUAACGGAGGAGCACGAAGGUUGGCUAAUCCUGGUCGGACAUCAGGAGGUUAGUGCAAUGGCAUAAGCCAGCUUGACUGCGAGCGUGACGGUGCGAGCAGGUGCGAAAGCAGGUCAUAGUGAUCCGGUGGUUCUGAAUGGAAGGGCCAUCGCUCAACGGAUAAAAGGUACUCCGGGGAUAACAGGCUGAUACCGCCCAAGAGUUCAUAUCGACGGCGGUGUUUGGCACCUCGAUGUCGGCUCAUCACAUCCUGGGGCUGAAGUAGGUCCCAAGGGUAUGGCUGUUCGCCAUUUAAAGUGGUACGCGAGCUGGGUUUAGAACGUCGUGAGACAGUUCGGUCCCUAUCUGCCGUGGGCGCUGGAGAACUGAGGGGGGCUGCUCCUAGUACGAGAGGACCGGAGUGGACGCAUCACUGGUGUUCGGGUUGUCAUGCCAAUGGCACUGCCCGGUAGCUAAAUGCGGAAGAGAUAAGUGCUGAAAGCAUCUAAGCACGAAACUUGCCCCGAGAUGAGUUCUCCCUGACUCCUUGAGAGUCCUGAAGGAACGUUGAAGACGACGACGUUGAUAGGCCGGGGGUGUAAGCGCAGCGAUGCGUUGAGCUAACCGGUACUAAUGAACCGUGAGGCUUAACC
RNAcentral lists this ribosomal RNA (2892 nucleotides) under Shigella boydii. Its description in RNAcentral is "bacterial LSU rRNA". It matches the Rfam family "Bacterial large subunit ribosomal RNA". Lineage: Bacteria; Pseudomonadati; Pseudomonadota; Gammaproteobacteria; Enterobacterales; Enterobacteriaceae. The record is from RNAcentral.